AUAACGAGGGCUUAACUGUCUCCUCUUUCCAGUCAAUGAAAUUGAUCUCUCCGUGCAGAAGCGGAGAUAAGUACAUAAGACGAGAAGACCCUAUGGAGCUUUAGACACUAAGACAGAUCAUGUUAAACACCCCACAAACAACGGCUUAAACUUAAUGAUCCCCUGUCCUAAUGUCUUCGGUUGGGGCGACCAUGGGGAAGCACAAAUCCCCCAUGUGGAAUAGGAGGACAAUCCCACAUUAUUUUCCUCUCCUCCCACAAGCAAGAGUUACAACUCUAGCUAACAGAACAUUUGACCUUACAUGAUCCGGCUCACGCCGAUCAACGGACCAAGUUACCCUAGGGAUAACAGCGCAAUCCCCUUUUAGAGCCCAUAUCGACAAGGGGGUUUACGACCUCGAUGUUGGAUCAGGACAUCCUAAUGGUGCAGCCGCUAUUAAGGGUUCGUUUGUUCAACGAUUAAAGUCCUACGUGAUCU
RNAcentral lists this ribosomal RNA (477 nucleotides) under Decapterus muroadsi (amberstripe scad). Its description in RNAcentral is "partial 16S ribosomal RNA". It matches the Rfam family "Bacterial large subunit ribosomal RNA", at positions 2001 to 2606 of the family's 2925-position model. The record is from RNAcentral. Lineage: Eukaryota; Metazoa; Chordata; Actinopteri; Carangiformes; Carangidae.